CCGCAUAAUCCAAGAUGUUUAGCUCCCCCAUGUAGAUAUGUCGGAUAAUACCCAGCAGGGGAGUGUGAAUUCUAGGGUAAUCUGUGUUGAUUUAAUCCAGGAAUAUGAGUAUAAAUACAAGGUCCCAUCUUUGGUGUAUCAGACAUUCCCACUUUGUACUGGACAGAAGCAGAAACGAUGAAAGUUGUGUUGUUUGUUUGUAUGUUGACCGUGGUCACUGCUGGAGAGGCGGACACAGAGGUUAACCACAUAGAUUCCGUCAUUGAGCAACUCAAGGCAAUACAAUCAGAUCUGGUUGGAAUGGAUCAUCAGAUGAACACGAAAUUCCUUGACGAUGUCACUGAUGAGUCAUCAACGAACAAGGGUGCGACAAAAACUUCACCAACGACUUGGG
RNAcentral lists this long non-coding RNA (394 nucleotides) under Haliotis rufescens (red abalone). RNAcentral's name for it is "uncharacterized LOC125378347". Lineage: Eukaryota; Metazoa; Mollusca; Gastropoda; Lepetellida; Haliotidae. The record is from RNAcentral.